AACCCCAAUGCAUCAAGAGCAUCUCCUUCUGAGUAAUCAGCCUGAAGGAGAUCCAGAUAUGUAUCCCAUUUGUUACCAAUCACCUUCCCGCAAGUAAAACAACGAACUGGUAUAAUCAUCUUCGCUUGCCCCUCUGCCUCUGUUCUUUCUCUCUUUCUUUGUUUUCCUCUGGUUGGUCAGCGAGUCCCUGAGGAGGAAGGGUUUAUGUUUGUGUAAGAGCUGUUGAGCCUAGGCCUAUUGGGUUGUG
This 247-nucleotide unclassified non-coding RNA is filed under the name Hevea brasiliensis (rubber tree). The record is from RNAcentral. Lineage: Eukaryota; Viridiplantae; Streptophyta; Magnoliopsida; Malpighiales; Euphorbiaceae.